Vespa velutina is the source of this 417-nucleotide long non-coding RNA. RefSeq lists it as uncharacterized. The transcript is spliced from 2 exons. NCBI's taxonomy places the organism in Eukaryota, Metazoa, Arthropoda, Insecta, Hymenoptera, Vespidae. The record is from RefSeq and is a predicted model, not a curated record.
GGCUCACCUGGCGACUGCGCGCCUGAGCGCCGCUCUAGUGCCAAGAACCACCUCGUUCCUGUUCCUCCCCUCUCCAAACCUAUCUAACUCUCUGCUGCUGCUGCUGCUGCUGCUGCUGCUGUUACUACUACUAAUACUACUACUAUUACUACUACACACACUAUAUACCUACCUACCUACGUACGUACGUGUACGUAGAUACGUACGUACGUACGUACCUACCUACCUACCUACCUACCUACCUACCUACUAUCCCCACUCUUCUCUACCCUCGUUAUUACGACUGUAUAAGUGUGAGGGACGGCCGACGGAUAUACUAGAGGUAGGAAUCGAGAAACCGCGGAAAUUUGACGCAUCGACAUCUACGCUCAGUCCAUUCCCAUGUGAGAAAUCCAUAUCCAAAGGCAAGAUGAUGGG